UACGUAGGUGGCAAGCGUUGUCCGGAUUUACUGGGUGUAAAGGGGGCGCAGGCGGGAAGCUAAGUUGGAUGUGAAAUACCGGGGCUCAACUCCGGAGCUGCAUCCAAAACUGGUUUUCUUGAGUGGAGUAGAGGCAAGCGGAAUUCCGAGUGUAGCGGUGAAAUGCGUAGAUAUUACACAGAACACCAAUUGCGUAGGCAGCUUACUGAGCCGACACUGACGCUGAGGCACGAAAGCGUGGGGAUCAAACAGGAUUAGAUACCCCGGUA
Molecule: ribosomal RNA, 269 nt
Filed under: uncultured prokaryote
Description: partial 16S ribosomal RNA
Rfam family: Bacterial small subunit ribosomal RNA
Source: RNAcentral